This 1083-nucleotide long non-coding RNA is filed under the name Mus caroli (Ryukyu mouse). RNAcentral describes it as "DNA segment, Chr 5, ERATO Doi 605, expressed (MGP_CAROLIEiJ_G0006245.1)". The record is from RNAcentral. Lineage: Eukaryota; Metazoa; Chordata; Mammalia; Rodentia; Muridae.
CUUCUUGACUGCUGAUGAAUGUAACUCGCUGCCUCACGAUCCCUCACGAUCCUUCCUGCGGUCUCCUUUCCCUGCCAUGACAUGGCCCCUCUUAAACUACAGUGUCUCAUCAUGCAGCUCAGGCUGCCCUGGAACUCUGUCUGUAGACCAGACUGGUCUCAAAUUCACAGCCACAGGCCUACCUUUGCCUCCUCAAUGCUGGACUCUUUCACAACAAUUAUUUUUUCAUAGUUUUGCUGCUGGAAUCCAACACAUGACCUUGAGCAUGCUAGGGUGGACUACCUUGAGUUGUUGGUCACAAGGAUACAGGCAAUUGCCACUGAUGUUGGUUGCCCACCGGAGCUGGAAGGUGGCGGAUGAUAUCAUAUGCCUUGUUCGCCAGACAUACAGAAACUCAAGCGGAACUGAGCUGGAGGCUUCAUCUCUGCUGGCUCACGUUGCCAGUGGGAGCUAUGCAGGCUGCAGGGGGAGAACUGUCAGCAAUAGUCUCACUCAGCUGUGAAUUCUGGGUGCAAACACUACAGACCAGCCAGAGAUGUGCCUACUUGUACAGUAGGGGCAAGUCUAUUAUGGGGGACAACCCACUGUUUUCUGACCGGGAUUUGAGGCCUGCUCAACACGAGGCAAUUCCUGUCUGAUACUGUACUCUGGUCAAAAGCCCAUGGCUGGGGAGGUCAUAGGCCCUAACGGGGAAGCCACUGAUGUGUUGCCAAAUGAACACAAUGUCCCAUCAAAUUGCCUUCUAAUCAACCACAUUUAUUCCUACAAACUAAUGCUAUGUCAGUUUUGGUUUAAAAAAAAAUGUUCUUCAUGGUAGGUGUGAUGAUUUGAAUAUGCUUGGCCUAGGAGUGGCACUAUUAGGAGGUAUGGCCUUGUUGCAGGAAGUGUGUUGUGGCCAUGGGCUUUAAGACUCUCAUCCUAGCUCCCUGGAAGUCAGUCUUCUCCUAGCAGCCUGCAUACAAAGAUGUAGACCUCUCAGCUCCUCCUGCACCAUGCCUGCCUGGAUGCUGCCAUGCUCCUGCCUUGAUGAUAAUGGACUGAACCUCUAAAUCUGUAAGCCAGCCCCAGUUAAAUGUUGUCCUU